RNAcentral lists this ribosomal RNA (253 nucleotides) under uncultured bacterium. RNAcentral describes it as "partial 16S ribosomal RNA". It matches the Rfam family "Bacterial small subunit ribosomal RNA", at positions 524 to 776 of the family's 1533-position model. The record is from RNAcentral.
UACGGAGGGUGCGAGCGUUAAUCGGAAUUACUGGGCGUAAAGGGUUUGUAGGUGGUUAAAUAAGUCAGAUGUGAAAGCCCUGGGCUCAACCUAGGAACUGCAUUUGAUACUGUUUAACUAGAGUUUAUUAGAGGAUUGGGGAAUUUCCGGUGUAGCGGUGAAAUGCGUAGAUAUCGGAAGGAACAUCAAUGGCGAAGGCAACAAUCUGGGGUUAAACUGACACUGAGGGACGAAAGCGUGGGUAGCAAACAGG